This 306-nucleotide long non-coding RNA is filed under the name Cricetulus griseus (Chinese hamster). RNAcentral describes it as "lncRNA (ENSCGRG00000025171.1)". The record is from RNAcentral. Lineage: Eukaryota; Metazoa; Chordata; Mammalia; Rodentia; Cricetidae.
GUGGUGAAGCUUUCCAGGAUCUUUCUUUAAUAAGACGUACCUUACCAUUUGCAGGAUGGAACAGCUCUGCAGGUGUUUGUAGCUGAAGUUGCAAAUCAAAUAGUUGGCAUCGCAGUGAUCAGACAAGAAAUGGAUAUAGAGUACAUACGAUCUCAUUAUAACAUUGAGGAUUUUAUCUACUUUAGCCACCAUCAGCAAGAAGAACAUGGACGCUUGCACCAUUUUGCCCUGAACCCUAUUUUCCGACACUACACUAAGUUUUUCCUGAAGGAGAUCCUUCGCUUAGGCUUUAAGUCCUGUCUCUAC